Molecule: non-coding RNA, 46 nt
Organism: Bos taurus (domestic cattle)
Lineage: Eukaryota; Metazoa; Chordata; Mammalia; Artiodactyla; Bovidae
Source: Rfam
CCAAAGGCUCUUCUCAGAGCCACCACUUUUUCUGUUAAAGAGUUGU